RNAcentral lists this long non-coding RNA (217 nucleotides) under Monodelphis domestica (gray short-tailed opossum). RNAcentral describes it as "lncRNA (ENSMODG00000043043.1)". Lineage: Eukaryota; Metazoa; Chordata; Mammalia; Didelphimorphia; Didelphidae. The record is from RNAcentral.
GAUUUUGAACUCAAGUCUUCCUGCCUCCAAAUCCAGUGCUCUAAACAUGGAGCUACAGCUCAGAAGAGAAGGUACAUUUAGGAAAAGUUUUUUUUUUUUAUUUUUUUUUUUUUUUUGAAGACAAAUGUUCAAAGUUUAUUAAACAUUAAGAAUUAACAGACAAAAGUUUGGGUUGAACAACAUAUAUGAUGCAAUCCUGUAUCAUGACGCACAAUUU